Molecule: ribosomal RNA, 255 nt
Filed under: uncultured bacterium
Lineage: Bacteria
Description: partial 16S ribosomal RNA
Rfam family: Bacterial small subunit ribosomal RNA
Source: RNAcentral
UACGUAGGGUGCGAGCGUUAAUCGGAAUUACUGGGCGUAAAGCGUGCGCAGGCGGUUUGUUAAGACAGAUGUGAAAUCCCCGGGCUUAACCUGGGGAACUGCAUUUGUGACUGGCAAGCUAGAGUAUGGCAGAGGGGGGGUAGAAUUCCACGUGUAGCAGUGAAAUGCGUAGAGAUGUGGAGGAAUACCGAUGGCGAAGGCAGCCCCCUGGGCCAAUACUGACGCUCAUGCACGAAAGCGUGGGGAGCAAACAGG